Molecule: ribosomal RNA, 411 nt
Filed under: Panesthia australis (Australian wood cockroach)
Lineage: Eukaryota; Metazoa; Arthropoda; Insecta; Blattodea; Blaberidae
Description: partial 12S ribosomal RNA
Source: RNAcentral
AGAUACCCUAUUAUUUUGGAUUUAAAGGUUUAAACUUGAGUAGUAUUAGGUAUGGUCUUGAAACUUAAAGAAUUUGGCGGUAUUUUAGUCUAGUUAGAGGAAUCUGUUCCAUUAUCGAUAAUCCGCGUUGAACCUUACUCAAUAUAAUUUAAUAUGUAUAUCGCCGUUUAUUUGAAGAUCUUUUUAGGGCUAAUUUUCUUUAAAUUGUAAUUAAUUUUAUUUCAGGUCAAGGUGCAGUUUAUAAUUGAGUGGAAAUGGAUUACAUUAUUUAUAAAAUAAACGAAUUAAUAUUUGAAAAUAUUUUAUGAAGGGGGAUUUAAUGGUAAUUAAUAAUAAGAAUUAUUUUUGUGAUUUUAGCUCUAAAAUGUGCACACAUCGCCCGUCACUCUCGUUAUUAAGAUGAGAUAAGUC